This is a long non-coding RNA of Peromyscus leucopus (white-footed mouse), 993 nucleotides long. RefSeq lists it as uncharacterized. Lineage: Eukaryota; Metazoa; Chordata; Mammalia; Rodentia; Cricetidae. The record is from RefSeq and is a predicted model, not a curated record. The transcript has 2 exons.
GUUCCGUGCAAUGCCUGCUUGGCGCAUGCGUCAUGUAUUUGGCCCAGGAAAGGGGAUCAAAAACGAAUGAGUAAAAAAAGUAGAGAGAGAAAGAUUUGGGGAGUAGGAGUGAGAAAUUCCCUCAUACGUCCACACAACAAAAUGUUGGGAAGAGGAGUUGAAGACACAGAACCCUAUUAGAGACAAAGACCAAUGGUUCACAGUCCUAAAUGAAGGACACUGGUGGGGGUGAUGAGCCUGUUGGGGUCAUGGUUUCCGAACAGCCUCUGUCAGUUGUCUACGUUUGGAGAUCCCGCGCCAUCUGCUGGUCAUUCUGGGGAAUGAUACUUGACAGCCUGGAGGCACCCCACCACCACUCCCAUUGAGCCGCACCUUGGAGGAUUCCAGGAGUCUUCGUGGAGCUUUGGGGAAAAGCUAAGCUUCGCAGUGUCAUGCUUUCCACGCUGCAGACUGGGCACAGCUUGUUCCCGAAGGCCUCCUGGAUCCGCAGAACCAGGCAUUUGUGGUGGGCCUCAUCCAUGGCGUAGAAGUGGUUGAAAUCCAGGAAGAUGAUCUCUUGCGGGUGCUGAGUGAGGAAUGCAUCAAUCUCCAUCAACCCAUCCCAAACCUUGAUGCCAAAGAGCCCAUGGAUGAAAUAGAUCUCUUGGUCGGUGUCCCCCGGCUUGGAAGACACACGCAGGUCAAAGUAGCGGAUGCCAGCCUCCAGCUGCUCCCGGAAGGUCAGGUUCUGAGUUACAGACCACUUCUUCAUUAGCUUCUUCACCAAGGAGAUCCGGGCGAGGCGUUUGACAGCUUGGGUUUGGUCAGGCCCCACUGGGGACUUUUCAUCUACCCAGUAGCUGAAUGAAUCAUGGGAGCCUGAACAGAACAAUAAAGGAAGAAGACGGGAGUUGAGACUACUCAACUGAUAAGAAACAACAGCCCAAAUACAUUAUAAAUAAAUACUUGCAAAAACUUUCUAGCCUGCUGGGAAUAAAAUAAACACAAGCGAAA